AACGAACGCUGGCGGCAUGCCUAACACAUGCGAGUCGAACGAGACCUUCGGGUCUAGUGGCGCACGGGUGCGUAACGCGUGGGAACCUGCCUUUAGGUUCGGAAUAACUCCCCGAAAGGGGUGCUAAUACCGGAUAAUGUCUUCGGACCAAAGAUUUAUCGCCUUUGGAUGGGCCCGCGUUGGAUUAGCUAGUUGGUAGGGUAAAAGCCUACCAAGGCGACGAUCCAUAGCUGGUCUGAGAGGAUGAUCAGCCACACUGGGACUGAGACACGGCCCAGACUCCUACGGGAGGCAGCAGUGGGGAAUAUUGGACAAUGGGCGAAAGCCUGAUCCAGCAAUGCCGCGUGAGUGAUGAAGGCCUUAGGGUUGUAAAGCUCUUUUACCCGGGAUGAUAAUGACAGUACCGGGAGAAUAAGCUCCGGCUAACUCCGUG
Molecule: ribosomal RNA, 433 nt
Filed under: uncultured bacterium
Lineage: Bacteria
Description: partial 16S ribosomal RNA
Rfam family: Bacterial small subunit ribosomal RNA
Source: RNAcentral